UUAGUCUUUUAAUUGGAGACUGGAAUGAAAGAGUAAACCGGGAGGAUUUUUUUAAAAUAAAAUGAACGAAUUUUACUUUUUAGUAAGAAGGCUAAAAUAAAUCUUUUAGACAAGAAGACCCUAUAAAACUUUAUAUUUACUUCUCAUUUUGAAGAAUUAAAUAUUUUACUGGGGCGGUGGGAAAAAUAGACUUUUCUCGAAAAAUAGGACAAGCAAGUUUAGAUAUCUAGAAAUUCUGAAAAGGAAAUAAGUUACUUUAGGGAUAACAGCUUGAUUUAUUUUGAAAGUUCUAAUUGACAAAUAAGUUUAUGACCUCGAUGUUGAAUUAAAAUUCCCUUUUUGUGCAAAA
This 349-nucleotide ribosomal RNA is filed under the name Gint dabakalo. Its description in RNAcentral is "partial large subunit ribosomal RNA". The record is from RNAcentral. Lineage: Eukaryota; Metazoa; Arthropoda; Arachnida; Scorpiones; Buthidae.